This 468-nucleotide ribosomal RNA is filed under the name uncultured bacterium. RNAcentral describes it as "partial 16S ribosomal RNA". It matches the Rfam family "Bacterial small subunit ribosomal RNA", at positions 28 to 507 of the family's 1533-position model. The record is from RNAcentral.
GACGAACGCUGGCGGCGUGCUUAACACAUGCAAGUCGAACGGAAAGGCCCUGGUUUGGUGGGGUGCUCGAGUGGCGAACGGGUGAGUAACACGUGAGUAACCUGCCCUUGACUUUGGGAUAACUUCAGGAAACUGGGGCUAAUACCGGAUAGGAGCUCCUGCUGCAUGGUGGGGGGUGGAAAGGUUCGGCGGUUGGGGAUGGACUCGCGGCUUAUCAGCUUGUUGGUGGGGUAGUGGCUUACCAAGGCGUUGACGGGUAGCCGGCCUGAGAGGGUGACCGGCCACAUUGGGACUGAGAUACGGCCCAGACUCCUACGGGAGGCAGCAGUGGGGAAUAUUGCACAAUGGGCGGAAGCCUGAUGCAGCAACGCCGCGUGCGGGAUGACGGCCUUCGGGUUGUAAACCGCUUUCGCCUGUGACGAAGCGUGAGUGACGGUAAUGGGUAAAGAAGCACCGGCUAACUACGUG